This 467-nucleotide ribosomal RNA is filed under the name uncultured bacterium. RNAcentral describes it as "partial 16S ribosomal RNA". It matches the Rfam family "Bacterial small subunit ribosomal RNA", at positions 28 to 507 of the family's 1533-position model. The record is from RNAcentral.
GACGAACGCUGGCGGCGUGCUUAACACAUGCAAGUCGAACGGAAAGGCCCUGCUUUUGUGGGGUGCUCGAGUGGCGAACGGGUGAGUAACACGUGAGUAACCUGCCCUUGACUUUGGGAUAACUUCAGGAAACUGGGGCUAAUACCGGAUAGGAGCUCCUGCUGCAUGGUGGGGGUUGGAAAGUUUCGGCGGUUGGGGAUGGACUCGCGGCUUAUCAGCUUGUUGGUGGGGUAGUGGCUUACCAAGGCUUUGACGGGUAGCCGGCCUGAGAGGGUGACCGGCCCAUUGGGACUGAGAUACGGCCCAGACUCCUACGGGAGGCAGCAGUGGGGAAUAUUGCACAAUGGGCGGAAGCCUGAUGCAGCAACGCCGCGUGCGGGAUGACGGCCUUCGGGUUGUAAACCGCUUUCGCCUGUGACGAAGCGUGAGUGACGGUAAUGGGUAAAGAAGCACCGGCUAACUACGUG